RNAcentral lists this ribosomal RNA (404 nucleotides) under uncultured eukaryote. RNAcentral's name for it is "bacterial SSU rRNA". It matches the Rfam family "Eukaryotic small subunit ribosomal RNA", at positions 585 to 889 of the family's 1831-position model. The record is from RNAcentral.
CCAGCUCUAAUAGCGUAUAUUAAUACUGUUGCAGUUAAAACGCUCGUAGUUGAACUUAGAAUUAUUACAAGUUAUUUUACUUGAUUGUAAAAGUGCUUGCUUAAUUCUUAUCUACUAGAUACUCUAUUCUGUACUUAAUUGUAUGGAAUAUCACCUAGCCAGUGGAACUUUGGUAGAAUAAUGCCUUUUUUAAUACCAGAGUGUAAAAACUUGAAGUGUUAAAUUGGGAUCACAUUAUUUUAUUGAAGUGGGGUUCUAGUUAAUUUACUUUGAGUAAAUUAGAGUGUUCAAAGCAGCCUCUUGGGGCUUUGAAUAGAUUUAGCAUGGGAUAAUAGAAUAGGAUUUGAUAAUCUAUUUGUUGGUUUGAAUUAAUCAAAUAAUGAUUAAUAGGGACAGUUGGGGGC